UACGUAGGGUGCGAGCGUUGUCCGGAAUUACUGGGCGUAAAGAGCUCGUAGGUGGUUUGUCGCGUUGUUCGUGAAAACUCACAACUCAAUUGUGGGCGUGCGGGCGAUACGGGCAGACUGGAGUACUGCAGGGGAGACUGGAAUUCCCGGUGUAGUGGUGAAAUGCGUAGAUAUCGGGAGGAACACCAGAGGCGAAGGCGGCUUUCUGGCCUGUAACUGACGCUGAGGCGCGAAGGCUGGGGUAGCGAACAGG
This 253-nucleotide ribosomal RNA is filed under the name uncultured bacterium. RNAcentral describes it as "partial 16S ribosomal RNA". It matches the Rfam family "Bacterial small subunit ribosomal RNA", at positions 524 to 776 of the family's 1533-position model. The record is from RNAcentral.